CCGAGCAGCGGAAGAAGCAGAGAGCUGGGGUGAUCGCGGCUGCACGUGGAGCGCUGCCCCCCCCCGCCCCGCCCCGCUCCGCCCCGGACCCAACCAAGAGUCCUGCGGAGGGGUGAAGAGACCCAGGGACCAGGGGACGCGGGUGACAUCGGAUAACCGAGUCGGGCUCAAUUCACCAGUGGAGUCCACCGUGGCAGGGAAGUGUGGCGGCAGGAGCUGGAAGCAGCAGCUCACAGGACACCCACAAUCAGGAAGCAGGAAUGGAACCAGCCACAUGUCUGAAAGCAACACCUGGGCAGUUGGCUGCAGCUUUGACGUCGAGGCGGAAGCCUGUUCUCCUAAAGGAUCUCACGAUUCCAUUCUUCUUCUUCCUACUGCACGGGCACAAAGCCUGCCCCUCAUCCUUCGGGUGACCCACACUCCUUCCCUCUCUUAGCUCUCCACUGUAGGCAAUGUUUCAAAGCCAAAGGACAUUAGAAAAAGCUUCCGGCAAAAGAAGGCCUUAGGAGAUUCUCUCUCUUGGAAACAAAUAGAAAAAUCUUGCUUCUGUCUAUCCUUGGCAGAGACUCUGGGCUGAGACUUGUGGUUGUAGUACUGGCCCUUGGGGGGAAUAUGGCCAUUUCAUAGUAACAGAAAAUGCAGCUCAAUGGGCUGGAGAGAUGGCUCAGCAGUUAAGAGCACUGACUGCUCUUCCAGAGGUCCUGAGUUCAAUUCCCAGCAACCACAUGGUGGCUCACAACCAUGAGAUCCAACGCCCUCUUCUGGUG
Molecule: long non-coding RNA, 767 nt
Filed under: Mus musculus (house mouse)
Lineage: Eukaryota; Metazoa; Chordata; Mammalia; Rodentia; Muridae
Description: predicted gene, 40437
Source: RNAcentral